Molecule: ribosomal RNA, 496 nt
Filed under: uncultured bacterium
Lineage: Bacteria
Description: partial 16S ribosomal RNA
Rfam family: Bacterial small subunit ribosomal RNA
Source: RNAcentral
GAUGAACGCUGGCGGCGUGCCUAAUACAUGCAAGUCGAGCGAACAGACGAGGAGCUUGCUCCUCUGACGUUAGCGGCGGACGGGUGAGUAACACGUGGAUAACCUACCUAUAAGACUGGGAUAACUUCGGGAAACCGGAGCUAAUACCGGAUAAUAUAUUGAACCGCAUGGUUCAAUAGUGAAAGACGGUUUUGCUGUCACUUAUAGAUGGAUCCGCGCCGCAUUAGCUAGUUGGUAAGGUAACGGCUUACCAAGGCAACGAUGCGUAGCCGACCUGAGAGGGUGAUCGGCCACACUGGAACUGAGACACGGUCCAGACUCCUACGGGAGGCAGCAGUAGGGAAUCUUCCGCAAUGGGCGAAAGCCUGACGGAGCAACGCCGCGUGAGUGAUGAAGGUCUUCGGAUCGUAAAACUCUGUUAUUAGGGAAGAACAAAUGUGUAAGUAACUAUGCACGUCUUGACGGUACCUAAGCAGAAAGCCACGGCUAGCUACGU